UCAACUUCUUCAUCAGUUUGAAAAUAAGGCAUGCAGGUGAGGCUCAUUGCUUGGAUAGGAAAAUGAAGACAUUGUUUAAUGUGUUGAGCCAGUUGUAGCCUCCUUCUGCCUGAGGAAAGAGUACAGAUAUUACAGAAAUGCGUCCAACAGUUUCGCCUCAGUGUUGAUCCCCAGAGAAAGCUGCCAUGAAAUCGGCUGAAAGGGAGAAGAAACAGAUUCCACUGUGAUCUCAGAAAGCCAGAGAGGCCAAUGGAAAAAUCCCCAGCCCAAAAAUAAUUGAAUCUGGGCUUGGCUUUCCCUUCAUCUGACCGGCCAAACUAACACGUUUUGCCUCCUUUUCCAGUC
Molecule: long non-coding RNA, 345 nt
Organism: Pantherophis guttatus
Lineage: Eukaryota; Metazoa; Chordata; Lepidosauria; Squamata; Colubridae
Source: RefSeq, a predicted model, not a curated record